Molecule: long non-coding RNA, 231 nt
Filed under: Prunus persica (peach)
Lineage: Eukaryota; Viridiplantae; Streptophyta; Magnoliopsida; Rosales; Rosaceae
Description: long non-coding RNA (PPER_LNC003336)
Source: RNAcentral
AGAGCGAUCCCAGGAUGGGUGACCCACUGGGAAGUUGCUCGUGAGCUCCCAGAAACAAAACCGUGAGGGCUCGAGAGGGGGGCCCAAAGCGGACAAUAUCGUGCUACGGCGGAGCCGAUCUCGGGAUGUGACAGCUCGCCCUCCAGAAUCAUAUUAUGGAGGAUGAUGCAAGUCAUCAUAAUGCUUCUGAGGAUCUCCUCAUCAAACAUACGGGUCGCACCUCAAAUAAUC